UACGGGGGGGGCAAGCGUUGUUCGGAAUUACUGGGCGUAAAGGGCUCGUAGGCGGCCAACUAAGUCAGACGUGAAAUCCCUCGGCUUAACCUGGGAACUGCGUUUGAAACUGGGAGACUUGAGUGUGGCAGAGGGGGGUGGAAUUCCACGUGUAGCAGUGAAAUGCGUAGAUAUGUGGAGGAACACCGAUGGCGAAGGCAGCCCCCUGGGUUAACACUGACGCUCAUGCACGAAAGCGUGGGGAGCAAACAGG
RNAcentral lists this ribosomal RNA (253 nucleotides) under uncultured bacterium. RNAcentral's name for it is "partial 16S ribosomal RNA". It matches the Rfam family "Bacterial small subunit ribosomal RNA", at positions 524 to 776 of the family's 1533-position model. The record is from RNAcentral.